This 1387-nucleotide long non-coding RNA is filed under the name Astyanax mexicanus (Mexican tetra). RNAcentral's name for it is "lncRNA (ENSAMXG00005009834.1)". The record is from RNAcentral. Lineage: Eukaryota; Metazoa; Chordata; Actinopteri; Characiformes; Acestrorhamphidae.
CCACACUUCACUUCCCAAUUCUUCAGGCUCCAGUCAUGAGCUGUAACACACCUACGAUAAAAUCACAAAGUUCGAAAGGAAAAAGAAGACAGAAUUCAGCAAGAAGUUAAAAUUAAAGUAUAGUCUUCAAGGCCUGAAGAUGUGGAUCAGAGAAGAAAGCAGCGUACGGCUCUUUUCUCAACAAAACCAGACGCUAAAUGAACCACGAAGCUACUUUCGUCCCUCUCACCAUGUCCGUCACUCUGGGAGACACAUCCACAACCACACUUGGCCGAGCAGCUCACAAGCCUGGCCUCAGGAGAACACGGCACCAUCCUGUUACUUCACCUUCGUCAGUAGAGCUGUGCUGUGGAACAGAGGACUCCACCAACACAAGAAAAUCAGAGGCAUGUGCAGUGUCUAAGUGAUUACACCAGGAGGCACUUUGCUGAACCUCUCCCUAGUUUACCAGCAUCUCCACAUCCAAGCAUCGCCUCUUCAGACGUCUCUCCCUUCUAUCCAUCACCUCCUGCCCAAUCAGAGACCAACCAAGAAAAAUCUCCAUCUUUCUCUCGCGUCUCUUCGAAGCAGUCUACCCCAGCAGUGCAUGAAGAGGAAGGAAACAGUGCUGCUCCUUCUGCAGAGCCUUUCUCCCCAAACCUUAGCUCUGAGAACUUAGAAGAUCCUGAAGGUCCUGAAGUGACGACCCCGGAGACAAUGACUCCUGAAACCCCUUCAACCCCUGAAACCCCUCGAACCCCAGCGACCCCAAAUUCUCUUUCUGACUUCAGCCACCCUGCGUCCAGUCAAUUCAGCUGUAGGACAGACCUGAGCAGCAGCUUUUCCAAUGCUCACUCAGUAAACUUGAGUGACAACAACGACAGCGACCUUCCAGAUGACCAUGAUGAUGAUGAUGAUGAUGAUGAUGAUGAUGAUAAUGGCAACAGUGAUGACCUAGAGGCCUGCUCUUCCUCCCUGUCUGAACUUCGCUUCAGUUCUCUCAAUGACUCAACCAUGGCCUUUCGUACACCUCCAGUAUCUCCUCAACGCAGUCUUCCCAAGUUCCUCACCUCUCACAGCUCACAGACAUCAUCCACCAGCUUAAACCCCAAUCAAGAGAGCUUAAAGUUCACCAAUCACCCAAUCCAUGACCAGAACCUUCCAGUGAAACUUACAAACCAAACAAAUAUCGAUGCAUCUCCAAGCCCAUGCCACUCAACUCCUAAAUUUCAGUCUAUAACUCUGCCUUCAUCCUCUCCAGUACAGACUCAGAGUUUUAAAGGCUCAGACUGGAAGGACUUCUACUUGCCUGUACUUCCACCAAUCACACCUCAACAAAGAGGUGAGUUUCUCAGUUUCUCCAGCCCACAGGCUAAACACAUGCAGAAAAAUUGACGCCAUUAUCCUG